RNAcentral lists this ribosomal RNA (1071 nucleotides) under Triticum aestivum (bread wheat). RNAcentral describes it as "partial small subunit ribosomal RNA". Lineage: Eukaryota; Viridiplantae; Streptophyta; Magnoliopsida; Poales; Poaceae. The record is from RNAcentral.
GCUGCUAGCACCCGUGGAGGGAUCCUUAUGCUCUGGGACGAUAGUUAUGUCAACAUCUCCAAUGUUGUCACCUCUGAGUUCUGCCUUUCGGCGGACGUGGCCGUCCUGAACUCCGGCUCCCGCUUCAAGAUAACUACGGUCUAUGGGCCUACCGCGCACUCCAGAAAAGAUGAUUUCUUUGCGGAGCUCCUUGCCCAGAAACCACCAGCUGGCCAUAUGUGGCUGGCCUUGGGGGAUUUCAACCAAAUCUACCGUGCGCGCGACAAGAACAAGCGUAACAUAAAUCGUAGCCGCAUCAACCGCUUCCGUGCCACCCUUCAGGCGUGUGAGCUAAAAGAAUUACAUCUUCAAGACAGAAGAUUCACCUGGAGCAAUGAGCGGGUGAACCCCACGCUUUGCAAGCUUGACUCCUACUUCUGCAAUGCCGACUGGGACAUUCAGUUUGACACCCAUGUGCUACAUGCGCUCUCCUCCUCGCUCUCUGACCACUGCCCUUUACUCCUCGCCGACGAUCGAGGGCCUCGUAGGCCUCGGAGCUUCAAAUUUGAGAACUUUUGGUGUUCCAUCCCGGGUUUCUCCGAGGUUGUCGAGAAUGCUUGGGCUGCACACACUGGCCAUUCUGAGCCCUACCAAAUCCUUUUUCACAAGCUCAAGAGAGUUGGCAUGAGAUUGACAGAGUGGAGUAGAAAUUUGUUUUCCAAGCCCAAGUUGCACCUACAUGCUGCGUUGUUGGUUAUCCUUAGGCUCGAUGUUGCUCAAGAGUCACGGACUUUAUCUGCUGAGGAGAUGGACCUAAGAGCAAGAUUAAAAAGAAGGGUCAUUAGCUUGGCGGUCCUUGAGCGCACAAGAAAGAAGCAAUGUGCCCGCUCAAGCAAUCUCAAGGCGGGAGAUGCUAAUACCAAAUACUUUCACCUUAGGGUGAAUGCGAGAAGGAGGAAAAACCAUAUUCAUCGCCUCAAACACAACAAUGGUUGGGUUACGAACCACGAGCAAAAAGAGAAAAUCAUUCAUGACCACUUCACCAAGGCCAUCGGAAGAGGGGGCCCUCGAACCAAGGACUUCAACUGGUAG